This 28-nucleotide non-coding RNA is filed under the name Mus musculus (house mouse). The record is from RNAcentral. Lineage: Eukaryota; Metazoa; Chordata; Mammalia; Rodentia; Muridae.
UGGCUUAAGCACCUGAGAAGACCCUUGC